GACGAACGCUGGCGGCGUGCCUAAUACAUGCAAGUCGAACGGAAAGACGCUGCUCUUGCUGGUCUCUCGAUUGGCGAACGCGUGUGUAACACGCGUGUAACCUGCCCUUGUCUUUCGGAUAACACUAGGAAACUGGGGCUAAAACCCCAUAGGAUCUCCUGAUCCACGGUGUGCGUUGGAAAGUUUCGGCGGUUGUGGAUCGUUUGGCUGCUUAUCCGCUGGUUGGUGGGGUAGUGGAUUACCCAGGCUUCGACGGCUAGCCGGCCUGAGAGGGUGGCCGGCGACAUUGGGACUGAGAUACGGACCAGAAUGGUACGGGAGGCAGCGGUGGGAAAUAUGACAGAGUGGGCGGAAGCGAGUGGCGACAGCGCCGCGUGCGGGAUGCCGGCCUUCGAGUUGUAAACCGCUUUCGAAGGAAACGUGGAGUGAGUGACGGUAAUGAGUAAAGAAGCAACGGCUAACUACGUG
RNAcentral lists this ribosomal RNA (468 nucleotides) under uncultured bacterium. RNAcentral's name for it is "partial 16S ribosomal RNA". It matches the Rfam family "Bacterial small subunit ribosomal RNA", at positions 28 to 507 of the family's 1533-position model. The record is from RNAcentral.